This 1346-nucleotide ribosomal RNA is filed under the name uncultured bacterium. RNAcentral describes it as "bacterial SSU rRNA". It matches the Rfam family "Bacterial small subunit ribosomal RNA", at positions 28 to 1381 of the family's 1533-position model. The record is from RNAcentral.
GACGAACGCUGGCGGCGUGCUUAACACAUGCAAGUCGAACGGAAAGGCCCUGCUUUUGUGGGGUGCUCGAGUGGCGAACGGGUGAGUAACACGUGAGUAACCUGCCCUUGACUUUGGGAUAACUUCAGGAAACUGGGGCUAAUACCGGAUAGGAGCUCCUGCUGCAUGGUGGGGGUUGGAAAGUUUCGGCGGUUGGGGAUGGACUCGCGGCUUAUCAGCUUGUUGGUGGGGUAGUGGCUUACCAAGGCUUUGACGGGUAGCCGGCCUGAGAGGGCGACCGGCCACAUUGGGACUGAGAUACGGCCCAGACUCCUACGGGAGGCAGCAGUGGGGAAUAUUGCACAAUGGGCGGAAGCCUGAUGCAGCAACGCCGCGUGCGGGAUGACGGCCUUCGGGUUGUAAACCGCUUUCGCCUGUGACGAAGCGUGAGUGACGGUAAUGGGUAAAGAAGCACCGGCUAACUACGUGCCAGCAGCCGCGGUGAUACGUAGGGUGCGAGCGUUGUCCGGAUUUAUUGGGCGUAAAGGGCUCGUAGGUGGUUGAUCGCGUCGGAAGUGUAAUCUUGGGGCUUAACCCUGAGCGUGCUUUCGAUACGGGUUGACUUGAGGAAGGUAGGGGAGAAUGGAAUUCCUGGUGGAGCGGUGGAAUGCGCAGAUAUCAGGAGGAACACCAGUGGCGAAGGCGGUUCUCUGGGCCUUUCCUGACGCUGAGGAGCGAAAGCGUGGGGAGCGAACAGGCUUAGAUACCCUGGUAGUCCACGCUGUAAACGGUGGGUACUAGGUGUGGGGUCCAUUCCACGGGUUCCGUGCCGUAGCUAACGCUUUAAGUACCCCGCCUGGGGAGUACGGCCGCAAGGCUAAAACUCAAAGGAAUUGACGGGGCCCCGCACAAGCGGCGGAGCAUGCGGAUUAAUUCGAUGCAACGCGUAGAACCUUACCUGGGUUUGACAUGGAUCGGGAGUGCUCAGAGAUGGGUGUGCCUCUUUUGGGGUCGGUUCACAGGUGGUGCAUGCCUGUCGUCAGCUCGUGUCGUGAGAUGUUGGGUUAAGUCCCGCAACGAGCGCAACCCUUGUUCACUGUUGCCAGCACGUUAUGGUGGGGACUCAGUGGAGACCGCCGGGGUCAACUCGGAGGAAGGUGGGGAUGACGUCAAGUCCUCAUGCCCCUUAUGUCCAGGGCUUCACGCAUGCUACAAUGGCUGGUACAGAGAGUGGCGAGCCUGUGAGGGUGAGCGAAUCUCGGAAAGCCGGUCUCAGUUCGGAUUGGGGUCUGCAACUCGACCUCAUGAAGUCGGAGUCGCUAGUAAUCGCAGAUCAGCAACGCUGCGGUGAAUACGUUCCCGGGGCU